This 480-nucleotide ribosomal RNA is filed under the name uncultured bacterium. RNAcentral's name for it is "SSU rRNA". It matches the Rfam family "Bacterial small subunit ribosomal RNA", at positions 26 to 518 of the family's 1533-position model. The record is from RNAcentral.
AGGACGAACGCUGGCGGCGUGCUUAACACAUGCAAGUGGAGCGACGAACCAGGCUUCGGCCUGGGGCAGAGCCGCGAACGGGUGAGUAACACGUGGGUAACCUGCCUCGAUGACCGGGACAACCCGGGGAAACCCGGGCUAAUACCGGAUGUGCUCCUUCACAUCAGUGAAGACAGGAAAGGAAGCUUCGGCCUCCGCAUCGAGAUGGGCCCGCGGCCCAUUAGCUUGUUGGUGAGGUAACGGCUCACCAAGGCUGCGAUGGGUAGCUGGUCUGAGAGGACGAUCAGCCACACUGGGACUGAGACACGGCCCAGACUCCUACGGGAGGCAGCAGUCGGGAAUUUGCCCAAUGGACGAAAGUCUGAGGCAGCAACUCCGCGUGAGGGAUGAAGGCUCUCGGGUCGUAAACCUCUUUUCUCAGGGAAGAUCCAAGACGGUACCUGAGGAAUAAGCGACGGCUAACUACGUGCCAGCAGCCGC